This 292-nucleotide ribosomal RNA is filed under the name uncultured prokaryote. RNAcentral's name for it is "partial 16S ribosomal RNA". It matches the Rfam family "Archaeal small subunit ribosomal RNA", at positions 456 to 747 of the family's 1478-position model. The record is from RNAcentral.
GGCCAGCCGCCGCGGGUAAUAACCGCGCCCCAAGUGGUGGCCACUAUUAUUGGGCCUAAGAGCGUCCGUAGCCGGCCCGGAAAGUCUACGGUCAAAGCCCACUGCAAACAGUGGAAUUGCCGUAGAUACUACUGGGCUAGGGACCGGGAUAGGCCGGGGGUACGGCCGAGGUAGGGGUUAAAUCCGUUAAUCUCGGCAGGACCACCUGUGGCGAAGGCGCCCGGCUGGAACGGCUCCGACGGUGAGGGACGAAAGCUGGGGGAGCGAUCGGGAUUAGAUACCCCGGUAGUCC